Molecule: long non-coding RNA, 9599 nt
Organism: Podarcis raffonei (Aeolian wall lizard)
Lineage: Eukaryota; Metazoa; Chordata; Lepidosauria; Squamata; Lacertidae
Exons: 3
Source: RefSeq, a predicted model, not a curated record
UCUGCCUGUGAGAAUUUUGGAGGUGAUUACUCAGCUUCUAACCUCUUCUGCUUUAUUGUUUGUGCCGUUCUCCGUUUGCCAAUCAAAUAAUUCUGCUGCUGGGCCCCCCCCCUUUUUUCGUAUGGUGCAUCCCGUAGCAACAGUACAUUUGGCUGCAACCAUUCCGAACGGAGACCCAUCUCUCUAUGCCAGGGGAGGGGGGGGAAGCACCACAAAGAACAUUGAGAUGAAUUACUCCAUUUUAUGAGCCAUAAAAGUUUUAUUCAUCUUGACACUGAAACAGGUUUAGGCAGUGAGUUGACACGCCUUAAAUAAAUAAGUGGAAUUAAUUCCCCUGCUCUUGAAACAAUAGGAGCAUGCCUGUACAGCGGGACAGCUGCCCACGUUGUUUCUCGUUGCAGCUUGAUAUUGAUAUUAUUUGUGUGUGUUUCUGCGCAUCUUCCUCUGGGGUCCGCUUGAUCCACUUCAGAUUCUUAGCCUGUUUUAUUAGAGGUUGGAAAAGGUUCAAGACCUGGUUGUACCAGCGCUCCCACCGACAGCUCAGGAACCAGUUUGGCGUCUGGUUUGUCUGUUGUUUUACUGCUGACCUUCAAAUCAACUUUCACCCCUGACCCUCGGAGACAUCUAUCAUGACAAGAAGCUGUUUAACACAAAUGGUGCCCAUUUAUAGGGGAAGAGAGUCCGAAAAUUUCCUUUUUAUGAAGAAUUGGGGGGGGGUGCGCUGCGUUGUGUGAAAUGCCUCCUAGCAGCUGGCUUAUGAAAUAAUGUGAGGGGAGGCCUUAAUGAGCUGAAAGCACUCUCAGCUGGAGAUAAAUAUAUGCAAAUGAGAUGCACAAACAAAGGCGCCUGGACAGAGAAAUAUCUGCAAUUCCGGCAAAAUGCUGCCUGCAGCUCGAAGAUGAACAGCUUUGAUAAAAUGGUAACAGAAAGCACCUUUUUAUCCCGCAGCUUGUUUUACAUUGCAAUAGUGACAUUGUCAUUGUGACCCAUCGGAGCAGGGCAGAGGUUUCUGCGCUGUUUGGAGCAGGGGGGGACAAGGGGGUGGGAGUCUUUAAACACUUGUUUUUAAGACAUUCAUGAAAUAUAAUCAAUGUGCUUAUUUUGUUUUGGAAAUGGGUAUUUAUUUUUUUUCUCGCUGGAGAUGGUCAGGUUUAUUUUACCUCUUCUUUGAGGACACUGCAUUCAAUACUGUGUUGUUUUGGGUUAUUUCACCUGCCAGUAAAUGUUGCUGCAUAAGGAAGAUUAAUUUGUUGUUUGAGAUUUUACGGGGAGAAAACUCCCAAGUGGACAGCUAGUGAGAAUCAGCAUUGGGGCAAGAGAAGGUGUGGAGAAAACAGGCACUUUAAACGUUUGCGGGGAAAGCACCCAAACAGGCAACAUUAAUGAAGGCAAUCACGUCUCUAAAUUCAAAGACAGACAUGGAACAUGCUGAUUUUAAUAAGCUUUUAAAGGCAGUCUCUAACUUUCCAAAGGCUUCCUUUGCAAUGUGAUUGUUUGGGAUUCAUAUAUUGCCAAACACAUUCACUUAAAUAUGUUUCCAAAGCAUACGGUGGAAGUACCAUAUCUUUAAGAAAACGUGUUGGCUUAACGUCUGAACUUUUUGCAGAUUUAAGGACAUUCUCAGAACAACACACUCUGCAUGACUGAGCCAUGUAAAGUUUAACUUCAACCCAUCUAUUUUUGCUUAGCAAUUUUUGAUAUUUAAAUCCUCGUUGGAUAUAAAAAUAUAAUUUAGAAGCUUGUAAAAAAAAAGUUGCAUGAAUCAGUAAUGUAUAAAUCUAAACAUAAUAUACUGGUACCUAACCUUGUAAAUGAUACUUUUAUAUGGACUUGUUCAUUCAGGAAUUGUCCUUCAAUUUUUUGUACAUAGAAAAAAAAUCAUUUUAAAGUCUGGGUGUUUGCAGCUGCUACUACGAAAGUUCCAAAUUUUGGAGUCUCAAAUCAUUCCCCUCACCACACACACAUUUAGUUAUCUGUUUGGGAGAGCUUCAAAAAAAUUUUAAUACAGUCAUAUAGAUACAGAUGAAAAUAAGCAUUUCCACGUGCCUUGUGCCUGUGUACACAUGUAUGUGAUAUUUUCAUAGCAUACAAUACUCUCUUAUUAAUCCUAGUUUCUGUGUCUUUGGAGCUUCAAGAGUUAAACGAAGCCUGGGUGUAUUAAGGAGGUUUUCUCCUCCCACCCAGGUUUGAAGCGACUGCAUUAUUACAUUCAGUUGCUGUUGUUUAGAAAGGGCAAACAGCAUCUUAGGCACAGAACGAUGAAAUUACAGCUGAGAUUUAGGUUAGCAAAAGCAGCCUUCCGCAGGCUUUUAUGAUUCAUUAUUUCCCAUUAAAUACAGUAUUAGAAAUGUACACCAGAUAGCUCAUGGUUGCUGCUCUCAGAGCACAUUAUCUAUAUUACACAGGCCUGGGGAGCAGAAUUAGAAAACUUUUGGGGAAUGAGCAAUAUGUGUUUGCUGAUAGAAGUACCAUAUGGCUCAUCUUCAUCAAUUGCUUUCAUUGCGACUCGGAUGCUGAAGAAAUUAAAGUUUUAUUUGAUGUGGCACAGCUUAAUGAACUGUCUUCUGUUAGGAAAAUUGAAUAUGUUUCCUGUUAUUUGAGUGCAGAGCCCUCACGGUUUGCAGCUGAUGAGGGAUGCAUUAUGUAUUGUUUAUUUAGCAUUUUAAAAACAAAAGCAAAAAUCCUGAAGAAAAAACUGUUUUGCAUUGAAGUUAUAUUUUCAAAUUUUUAUCCGUGUAUUGCUUUACCUCAUCCUCACAUUCAAUUUAUUUUCUGCUUAUUGUUUAAAUGCCAGAAUGAUUGUAUGUUUUAAAAUGGUCUUUGAUAUGCAGUGUAUAUUAUAUAUCUUGUCUAAUUCCCACAUUAUCAUUUUUAAGGAAUAUAGAAUCACCAUUAAUAAGAAGGAAACACAUCUUAUCAGUUUGAUUUGCUUAACUUUUGAUGACGUUGUUUCCAUCCCACCACGACUGAGGAGUUUUAAAUGCUUCAGCAGUUUGUGUUGAGAUCUGGUUUCUAUGAACAUAAAUGCCAAAAAUGGGACAAAGGAAAAAUCUAUAUGACUGUCCCCAGAACUCUGAAAAUGUCUGAACAUUUUCUAAAGGAGACAUCUGUGGAUUGCAAGACAUUGUUAUAAAGUUGCACCAAGCUGUUAAUGGCAACAUGGUCAAAAUGGUAAGGGAAUAUAAUGAAACUAUUAUCCAAUGGUCUCUUUCCAUUCAGGUUAAUUAAGUUCCAGCAACAGAGAUGAAUUUGGCAUAAAAACUGUAAAUAUAAAACGUUUAAAAUGGUGAGAAGCAAUCAAACACAAAAGAUAACGUUUGACAUUUGUAGCAAAGUUGUAUAUUACGGUAGUUAAGUCACUAAUUAGUGGCUCAACACAGACAUGUUUUAAUUUGGGGGGGGGAGAGGCAUUUGAAUAACUGGAAAUUUUCCAAGGUCUUUGAGAGUCAGCUUUGAUCAAAGAAAAGGAACCCCCCUCCUUCUCCUAAAGCUUUUCUGUACUUGCAUAUCAACCAUAAAUAAAUAAACUUUAAAAAUGAAAACGUUUAGAUGAGCCCAUUUUUCCACAUCUUGCAACACUCGAGAGUUAUUUUUUCAAAUGUAAAAAGCUAUUUGUCACUUGCCUCUUCCGGUUUUUAAUUAUUUAUUUUAUUUUUGAUGGAAUCUGGCAAAUACUACCAUUAUACAAAUUCUGUUGGAAUCCAAAUACUAUCCAUUAAAAGAACACUUUCUGUUAUGUUUAUAGUAUUUGUGCCAAAACUUGCAGCUUUUGCUCAGGAAAACUUUUACGACUGACAUCACAAGGCAGUUCAUAUGAGGAGUGUCUUUGUCUUUUGCUGAAUAGCUGUUGGGCAAUUCCAGGAUACUACAUAGAAACCUGUCUUGGAGAAGAAAUGGUGAUAUCCUCCUUUGUUUUUCGUGCUACACUUGCCAUCUUUAAGCAGUCACAACUGUCUUUCCCUGUGAUCUAGAAUUAACUAAAUUGCAAUGAAACAGACGCAAACAUGCAGAGCAAGGGCUGCUGAAGCCACACAAAAAGUUUGGUUUAAAACAGUGGCGUUUCUUAGUGAAGAAGAUGGCGCGUUUUAUGAAACCCUGUUCCAUGACAGGCACCUCCUUUGAGGAACACUAUUAUGCAUUGUUAUCAGCGCGGUGUAAUUUGACUGUUGACAAAGUAUCUGUGGCAGUGAGAAUGAAAGCAGUUAGAAGUGUGUCGGAUUGUAAUCAAAAAGAUGCUUAGCUGUGCAACGCUGCUUCUUGAGCAGAUUUGAAUCAACAUUGCCUUGAGGGGACAUGCACAUACAAAAAAAAAAGUCCAUUAAUUUUUAGUGAGAAAAUUAGAGUGGCACUUGAUGAAGUGAAAUUUGACAUGCGUUAAUUGCUCCACAGCUCUUCUAAUUAGAGAUUUUCAAAUUCUUUUACUCCUGUCAAAGUGAUGCCACAUUGUCUUAGUGGACAAAGAGUAAAAUUGCAAAUUGGGCGGAUCAACAUGGAGUAAUAAGACUUGCUUGUGCUUUAUUUUGCUAAUGUCAGGAUUUGAAUUUUGUGGCUCUGCUUACAAAAGUGAGGCAGGAAACUAACAGAGAAAAGAGCAUUUUGUUGCAACAUAUAUAUGUACAAUAAAACAACUUUCAGUUGCUGUCUCAUCAAACCUGAAUGGAAAAGGAAAAAUACAAUGUACUGAAUUUUGAACUACACCUUCUUAGCCUAAUUCACGGCUUAGUAAAUAUGAAUUGCUGCUAUAUUGAAUUUAACAGGGUUAAACCUGAUGUAAGUCACAGUAUCCACUUCAACUGGGCUGUGGAUCAGGCUGCUAAUAGCUUAUCUUAAGCCGUAUGACCUCUUCAAUUCGAUUUUUGUCUGUAUUAAAACAAAUAGGGAAGUGCAGGGGACGCAUUGGUUCUUAAUGUACAUUUUAAAUAUGCAGUUUAAUAACUGAAGACAAACAAGAAUACAGUGAAAUUCGCAUUUUCUCUAGGGCAGAAACACAAGUAAGCUGAACCAUGCCUCUGGUGUUAUCUUGUGAAAUAGUAAAUGUACAGUAUUGCAAAUGCAAAAUGGAUCUUAAAGGGUGAUUUUAAAGAUGCUGCUCUUUGCUAGCCCUUGAACCCUUUCUUAAUUCAUUAACUUAUUGAAUUUUUUUUUUCAAUUUUCCAUUUUCGUGCAAUAACAAUAUUAAUGCUAGGGCCAAGGCUUGAUUGGAGCUAAAUUACUUGUUACCUGCUGGCAUUUAUUUAUAUGGCAUUGAAUUAUAAAGCUUUGCUAUUGUCAUGCCUUGGGCGAAUUGUUUAUGACACCAGUAAUAGGAGUAAUUGUUAUUGUUGAAAUUACCUGUCAGCUCCCCAUAGCAGUGGCCCUUGUCCCACUGACAAAUAGUGACAGGGGAGAGGGAUCCUCCACGCGUCCUCCUGAUGACUUCUCCUCUGAUAAUAAAGAGUGCAGGGCCUCUGAUAAUUUGCCUGUCACUGCUGAGUGUGGCUUAGAGAGAGUUGGCCAAAUUGUUGUCAUUCACUUUGACAAAGACAGCAAAAUGCUCUUGAGCAGGAGGGAGGUUUAUCAAAAUAAAUGAAAUUGCUUACACAUCCUUUGUUUAGAUUCCACCCCCUUCCCAGUGCCUUUGUAUGAGCCUUUUAAAAUUGCAAUACAUUUCUUAUCAUGGCUACUCGAAUCCUCUGCGUGCCACAAGAAGAAGCCUUUGGCAACUUGCUGUCUGCUAAGCAAGAAAUAUUCUCAAAAGGCGAAUCCACCCAGAAUGCAAGCACUGAACUAUAUAUAAUUGCAUGUGGAAAUGCAAAUGUAAACUUUUAAACAAUAAAAAUUGGCUAUGAAGGUGUAUUAUUAAAGUGAAAGAACAGCAAAUCCAUUCCUUUUUCCUUCCAUGAGGGAUCUUGCAACCUUCCAUCCUUGUCAAGGGAGAUUGGACGAAUCACUUUUACUGUUCUAAAUAAGGCAAUGCAAUGUUAAGAAAAACGUCAGAAACAAAUCUCUCCGGAUUAAAGUAACAUUUCUGCAUCAUGUCAGCCUCAAUAGCCAUGCUUAAUUUUUUGCAUAAAUUUGGUGAGCUAUUCCUUGCUUAAUGUUCAACAUAUAAACAAACAACAAUUAUUAUUAUAUGUUUAAGAUUGCUGUGGAUGAUAAUACACAGUGAGCAUUGUUGUUUUUCUAACCUUGUGUUAUUUUUCAGGAUGCAUUUUGUUAUAGGCUAUAAAUAAACUGUAAACUAUACAAUAACCCAUAAAAGAAACUUUAUGUAAUUUAAUAUGAAUGUGCAGCUUAGGGAGGAAAGGAGGGGGAUGAUAAGUUCCCCCCCCCCAAGUUACUCCCAUGUUAUUUUUUUGAAUAAACUGGAUUAACUGUACUUAGAACAGCAGAUAAGGAACAUAUUUCUGUUGGCUGAAAACAUUCUUGAGGAUUUACACAAUCAUUGCAAUGCGUUUAUGAUUUUGGAGCUGCGUUUUCAUAUUUAUGGAGUAUGGAGCACACAUAUAAUAAAGAACAUUCACCUACCAAAAUCUGGAAUAAGAAGUUCAUAAAUUUAAAAAACGUAAAAUUACAUUUUAAAAAGGGCUCCCUCCCUCCCCCGCCCCAUGAAUCCAUGCUGAGAGCACCUGCUCUAACUCCUGAUUUGUUGUAACCUAAAUCUUCUACAGAAGUACAGACUCUGAAGCAUCAGGCUUGCGAAAUUAUAGAUAAUAGUAAAACCAAAUGGCAAACAAAAUAUAAGGUUGACUCUUUUAGGCAAAUGGGUUUCAGUGGCCAAUUCUUCCCCCCCCCAGCCCUGCUGCCCUAAAAAAUGAGAGGUGUUUUUUUUAAAAAAAUAAAAAAAGAAUUUAGACAAAUUUGCCUCUUAACCUUUAAAGAUUUUCUGCCUAUGCCUGUAUGUCCUUUAUUGCAUUAAUUUUUUAUUUAAAUUACACCAUUAACUGGAUAUGAAUUUAUCAAGAAUACAUAUAUUGAUUUAUAAAACACUAUCAUUAAUUAUUAUAAUAGCUAGAUGUGGCUGGUAUUACAAAGCCAUUUAAAGGUUUUUAAUAUAACUCGGACAUACAUAGAUAGAUAGACAUUAUGGACAAGACUACAAUUUAAACUGGCUACCAACAGUUAAUGAAAUCCAUGAUUUAUAUUCUGCUUGAGAGACUGAUUAGGUUGUUGCUUUGUAAAACUAUUUACUUUUGUGUCAUUUUUCAAAGAACGUCUCAUUUAAAAAAGAAGAAGCCAAAUAAAAUAUCAUCCCAAAUUCACCCAAUAGUGGUUUAAAUGCUGGGAAUAUUUUAUAAUAGGAGUUUGGAUAUGUAUCCUACAUGCACAUUCCAAUUUUAGUGUUCUGUACAAUUUCACAUGCUCCUCUGCUGAAACAAUUUUCUCUUUGGUUUUAAAAGAUUAUCACAUGUAUCUUACUCUGUAAAGUGCCCUGCUGAUAUAGAUUUCCUAGGGUAUACAGAGAUAUAAAUAUAGAUAUAAUUUUAAAUUGUGGAAAAAAAUGGGACUUACCCAAAUGCUGCAUAACAGACAGUCACAGAAAAGAGUUUGAUUUAAAUUGCAAUCUGAAACAAAGAGGAAGGGAGGCACAAAUAAGGAAUGAUCUAAAGAAGGCCAAAGCAUAGAAGACUUUCAUAUUUCUGACAGUGCGUGAGUCAGUUAUGCAGCAAAGCUUUACAUCUUUUCAUUUUCAGUGUUUCUGAGCUGCUUGGUCGCAUGAAUCUCUGUAUAUGAAACACUCCUUUCUGAAAAACGUGUGUUACCGGUAUACUGUGCUUUUGCCGUCAGCUAGGCAAACCUAAAAGCUAUCUGAGGAGAUUAUCUUCAUCUGAUGAGUCUAACAAUUGUCAGCCAUCCCUUAGGGUUAACCAAUAGGCUCUUUCCAGGCUAUCCUAUGUAUUAACCAUUCUGAUGCUGAAAUGUUUUUUUAAUAUAUAUUUAUGGCAUUUGGCCUUUCCCCAGGCAUGGUGUGUUGGUUUAUAUGUAUGCAGAACCCAGUUAAGUUAAAAGACUACUUCCUUGCAUGUGUCUUCAGCCAUCAUGUGACUUAGGCAUAUGCCUUGAGUGUUUUAACGAACCAGCCAGCUUCCGCUCAACUCUCUCCAAAUUAUCUGACCUUAAAUAAAAUGCGAACUCUUACAACUUGAUUCUUUUCUUUCCAGGUGAUAUUAAUCCAUAGUCCCCUGUAUAACAACCUUACGAAACAUAUUGCUAUUAGAUUUUCAAAAAAGUUAUUUAAAGAUGGUGGCUCAUCUUUCAUCUGUAUUCAUAUUUAGAGGAAACCUCCUUGGUUCUGGGAAACUGCUGAUUGCAAUGCAACAGGAUGGAGCACAUUGGGCAUGUGGCUAUCCACAGGGGGCCGCUGGGUUGUGUAGAGGACCUCCUAUAUAUGUACUGCUGGCUGUGAGUUAUACAAGGAACACCCAGUCCAGGAUGAUAACAUCGUAAUUGUGGCUGCUGUGAACUGGCCACAAUGUGGACUGGCUGACUCACUUCUCACUACUGUCAGCCCCUGGUCAGUAUAAAAGGCUUCCCAGCCUCCACUCGUCCUACAAUAGUGAGUGUCGAGCCGUGCCUUAAUACCGACAUGGACUGCAACACAUGUGUUGCGGUUGUACCACUGUGCACAUCGCCAGGCCUUCUGGGCACAAGAACCUACGCUGCAUCACCCUUGCCUUUAGGUAGCUGGCCAAGAAUGACAUGGCACAUCCAUGCGCGUAGCUAGGAUUUAUGUUAUGGAGGGCUGGACACCCACCUGUCAUCAUCCUCUGUCUAGCAAAUUCAGAAUGAAAUGUCUGAACAACAGUUGUUUUAAAUUACUCUCUUUUGACACACACACACCCCACCAAGCGCUCAGAAAAAUCUGUCAAAACCUUUCUACAACUUCUACUUUUAGUUAAGUGUUUUUAUUUAUUAACGAUGUGGGGGGGAACAGCAAGCCCCCUGCCCAUGGGCACAUCAUAGUUUUGGUCUGAUAACAGGGAUCUCCCCAUCUCUAUGCUCGGCAACACUGGUGUGCUGAAAUAGCAUUGCAACCAAGUAACUUGUUUAUGCAGGUGACGACCUAUAUCCCAUUAAAUAAAUGCUAAAGUUUUAAUAUGAAAGUCAUCUUUAAAGGAAAGAGAUCCUGUCCCAGAUGCCACAGGUCCCCUAUUUUCAAGAGGGGAACAUCACACUUCAUGGUAUAUCCAUAUAACAGAAGAUGACAAGAAAGACAGACCAGGGAAAAAUGGUGCGCAUCAAAAAAUAUGUAGCUCUCACUCUGUAUAUUCCUUGUAAUUUGAAGGUGUUGGUUCUUGGAUGUUGUAGAAAAUACAUUUUUGGCGCAAAAAAAUAAAUUUAUCUAGUAAUUCCUUUACAGCUGCAUACACAAGAACAGACACUGGCAGGAAACCACUCUCUAAAGGUAUCUGCAAAGUACUCUUUAAAAUGAGAUUUAAUCAAAGGAAUCAACCAAAGUCUCUAGAAUUAUUUUCAAAUGAAUCAAUUGAACAGAUAGAAGCUAGAAAGUUGAGAUGGAUUGUGUAAAAGGGUUAUUUUUACCAAAUGGACUGUGGAUUUUCCUGAAAUAUCCCACACCUUUAAUGUAAUAAAAUACUCAAAUGUUUCAUACUUUUUAA